Molecule: long non-coding RNA, 202 nt
Filed under: Mytilus galloprovincialis (Mediterranean mussel)
Lineage: Eukaryota; Metazoa; Mollusca; Bivalvia; Mytilida; Mytilidae
Source: RNAcentral
AAAAGCAUGGGUAUUGAGCACGUGUUUAACAUGUAUAAUCAGAUAUUUGUUUAUUUCGAUGACAGAUCCAUGCGUAUUGUGGUCACCGGAUUUUUACGAGGAGGGUUACGCUCGGGUCACUAUGCAUACGGAAAAUAUGUCGGCGAAUUGCUUCCUGGAAGCAAGCAAUUAAAAAUAAGUAAACUUCUUCUAAAUGUGGACA